GGGAGUGGUUGUGUCCCGGUGGGCACCCCAGUCUUCAAAACUGGUGGUCGGUUGCGCAGAGCAAGCGACGGUGGGUUCGACUCCCAUCCUCUCCCG
This 96-nucleotide transfer RNA is filed under the name Anaerolineales bacterium. RNAcentral's name for it is "tRNA-Sec". It matches the Rfam family "Selenocysteine transfer RNA". Lineage: Bacteria; Bacillati; Chloroflexota; Anaerolineae; Anaerolineales. The record is from RNAcentral.